RNAcentral lists this ribosomal RNA (254 nucleotides) under uncultured bacterium. RNAcentral's name for it is "partial 16S ribosomal RNA". It matches the Rfam family "Bacterial small subunit ribosomal RNA", at positions 524 to 776 of the family's 1533-position model. The record is from RNAcentral.
UACGAAGGGGGCUAGCGUUGCUCGGAAUCACUGGGCGUAAAGCGCACGUAGGCGGAUUCCUAAGUCGGUGGUGAAAUCCUGGAGCUCAACUCCAGAACUGCCUCCGAUACUGAGAGUCUCCGAGUCCGGGAGAGGUGAGUGGAACUGCGAGUGUAGAGGUGAAAUUCGUAGAUAUUCGCAAGAACACCAGUGGCGAAGGCGGCUCACUGGCCCGGUACUGACGCUGAGGUGCGAAAGCGUGGGGAGCAAACGGG